GCCUGGGUGGCUCAGUCAGUUGAGCGUCCGACUUCGGCUCAGGUCAUGAUCUCGCAGUCCGUGGGUUCGAGCCCCGCAUCGGGCU
This 85-nucleotide transfer RNA is filed under the name Felis catus (domestic cat). It matches the Rfam family "tRNA". From Rfam's summary of the family: Transfer RNA (tRNA) molecules are approximately 80 nucleotides in length. Their secondary structure includes four short double-helical elements and three loops (D, anti-codon, and T loops). Further hydrogen bonds mediate the characteristic L-shaped molecular structure. tRNAs have two regions of fundamental functional importance: the anti-codon, which is responsible for specific mRNA codon recognition, and the 3' end, to which the tRNAs corresponding amino acid is attached (by aminoacyl-tRNA synthetases). tRNAs cope with the degeneracy of the genetic code in two manners: having more than one tRNA (with a specific anti-codon) for a particular amino acid; and 'wobble' base-pairing, i.e. permitting non-standard base-pairing at the 3rd anti-codon position. Lineage: Eukaryota; Metazoa; Chordata; Mammalia; Carnivora; Felidae. The record is from Rfam by way of RNAcentral.